GAAAUAGAAAUCAAGAUUAAGCUUCUAACUUAAAUCUUUAGCAAUGAAAUUUGUUAAUAUUUCU
This 64-nucleotide transfer RNA is filed under the name Ischnosoma splendidum. RNAcentral describes it as "tRNA-Ser". Lineage: Eukaryota; Metazoa; Arthropoda; Insecta; Coleoptera; Staphylinidae. The record is from RNAcentral.